AGCAAAUAGAUACCCCGGUAGUCCACGCCCUAAACGAUGUCAACUAGUUGUCGGGGUCACUAGGCUUUGGUAAACGCAGCAAAAACGCGAGAAGUUGACCGCCUGGGGAGUACGGUCGCAAGAUUAAAACUCAAAGGAAUUGACGGGGACCCGCACAAGCGGUGGAUGAUGUGGAUUAAUUCGAUGCAACGCGAAAAACCUUACCUACCCUUGACAUGGUCGGAAUCCUGUAGAGAUAUAGGAGUGCUCGCAAGAGAGCCGAUACACAGGUGCUGCAUGGCUGUCGUCAGCUCGUGUCGUGAGAUGUUGGGUUAAGUCCCGCAACGAGCGCAACCCUUGUCGUUAAUUGCCAUCAUUAAGUUGGGCACUUUAAUGAGACUGCCGGUGACAAACCGGAGGAAGGUGGGGAUGACGUCAAGUCCUCAUGGCCCUUAUGGGUAGGGCUUCACACGUCAUACAAUGGUGCAUACAGAGGGUUGCGAAGCCGCGAGGUGGAGCUAAUCUCAGAAAGUGCAUCGUAGUCCGGAUU
RNAcentral lists this ribosomal RNA (529 nucleotides) under uncultured bacterium. Its description in RNAcentral is "bacterial SSU rRNA". It matches the Rfam family "Bacterial small subunit ribosomal RNA", at positions 767 to 1299 of the family's 1533-position model. The record is from RNAcentral.